GGGCUGUUAGCUCAGCGGUAGAGCACACCCCUGAUAAGGGUGAGGCCCCAGGUUCAACUCCAGGACGGCCCA
Cardiosporidium cionae is the source of this 72-nucleotide non-coding RNA. NCBI's taxonomy places the organism in Eukaryota, Apicomplexa, Aconoidasida, Nephromycida. The record is from the annotation of a GenBank genome assembly.